Molecule: unclassified non-coding RNA, 758 nt
Filed under: Hevea brasiliensis (rubber tree)
Lineage: Eukaryota; Viridiplantae; Streptophyta; Magnoliopsida; Malpighiales; Euphorbiaceae
Source: RNAcentral
AUUAUUAUUAUUAUUAUUAUUAAUAACUAGUUCAAAACUAAAAAGUACAAAGAUCAAUUUUGAAUUCGUAAAAGCAGCACAAGAAUUUCACAUAAGGUUUUCAUUCAGCAGGCAAUAAAGGAUUAGGGUGUAACCAGUGGUUCUUAAAUUAUUAAAUUUUAGGCCUGAUACAUAAAUUUAACCCUGAAUCAAUUUCGAAAAGUCUAUUGCACCCUUAACUUUUAUUUUAACCUAAUGUACCCCUAAUCUUUUAUUUUUAACCUAUUGCACCCUUAUUUAUAAAACUAGUAGGAACAAUUUGCUCAACUUAUUCGUUGAGCUCAACCAAUCAGCACCAAGUGGGUACUGGAUAAAUAAUUGAGUACAUUAUCCUUUCAGUUCAGCACCUUCCUCGAUUUAUAUCUGGACCAGGUGUAAUUUUCGGCAUAUAAACUCAAAUUUAUCCAAUACAAAUUCUGUUCCCAGAAUGGAAUACUACAGAAUUGAAAUGAGCAGGAUUGCAGAUUAAUCCUAUUAGUAAACAGAAUGAGAAUCAGACUCCCCACUCCCCCCCACCUGGGCCUGCCUGCCCUUUUUUGUCAAUUAGAGCAGGGGUGAGUUUCAAAUGAGCCAGGCACAAACAGUGAUUUAUAGUGUUGGUCUUUUUUUUUUGGCACCCUUCUAUAAGGACAAAAUAAUCUUCUAAUAUUGUUUUUGAACAUAAAAAUAACUGAACCAUGAGAACCAACUAUCAAAUCAUAAGAAACACCUAAUGGUCA